UACGGAGGGUGCGAGCGUUAAUCGGAAUUACUGGGCGUAAAGGGUGCGUAGGUGGUUGAGUAAGUUAACUGUGAAAGCCCUGGGCUUAACCUGGGAAGGCCAGUUAAGACUGUUUGACUAGAGUAUGGGAGAGGGUAGUGGAAUUUCCGGUGUAGCGGUGAAAUGCGUAGAUAUCGGAAGGAACACCAGUGGCGAAGGCGGCUACCUGGCCUAAUACUGACACUGAGGCACGAAAGCGUGGGGAGCAAACAGG
Molecule: ribosomal RNA, 253 nt
Filed under: uncultured Legionella sp.
Lineage: Bacteria; Pseudomonadati; Pseudomonadota; Gammaproteobacteria; Legionellales; Legionellaceae
Description: partial 16S ribosomal RNA
Rfam family: Bacterial small subunit ribosomal RNA
Source: RNAcentral